Brassica napus (rape) is the source of this 463-nucleotide long non-coding RNA. RefSeq lists it as uncharacterized. The record is from RefSeq and is a predicted model, not a curated record. The transcript is spliced from 2 exons. NCBI's taxonomy places the organism in Eukaryota, Viridiplantae, Streptophyta, Magnoliopsida, Brassicales, Brassicaceae.
AUUUUUUAUAUUAGUCUCCGACCAAAGGUUUCCAAACGGAAUUACGACAGAGACGGAAAAACCAUGACGAAUUGAUGACGAGCCGGAGAAAGAGAGAGUAGAUUUGAGUUUCUGGGUUUUCCAUCGCUGGUUUUUCUCCUUCGGUGACAAGUUCAUGAUUUCGUCUUCAAGAUAACAUUCUCGAAGAGGUGUCCGUGAGAUUUGUAAAUGUCUUUGUGACGGAAUAUAUCCAGAAAAUGGAAGCAGGUUGCAUGCAAUUCCGGCCUGGUGCUUUCUUACCGCAAUGUGCAGCAUAGUUCAACUGUUUUGACAUCCUUCUUUAUUAGCCGGAUUGAUUUUUUUUUUUAUCCACAUGUAUCAUGACAUUUUAAUUUAUCCAUGUGUACACCUAUUGUCAUGGGCACCAUCUUUGGUUUGACUUUAUUUACUUUGUUAUAUAGUUGGCAUUUCGAUUAAGCAACCA